UAGGGAAUCUUCGGCAAUGGGGGGAACCCUGACCGAGCAACGCCGCGUGAGUGAAGAAGGUUUUCGGAUCGUAAAGCUCUGUUGUUAAGGAAGAACGAGUGUGAGAAUGGAAAGUUCAUGCUGUGACGGUACUUAACCAGAAAGGGACGGCUAACUACGUGCCAGCAGCCGCGGUAAUACGUAGGUCCCGAGCGUUGUCCGGAUUUAUUGGGCGUAAAGCGAGCGCAGGCGGUUAGAUAAGUCGAAUGUUAAAGAUCGGGGCUCAACCCCGUAAAGCAUUGGAAACUGAUAAACUUGAGUAGUGGAGAGGAAAGUGGAAUUCCUAGUGUAGUGGUGAAAUACGUAGAUAUUAGGAGGAAUACCAGUAGCGAAGGCGACUUUCUGGACACAAACUGACGCUGAGGUACGAAAGCGUGGGGAGCAAACAGG
RNAcentral lists this ribosomal RNA (429 nucleotides) under Bacteroidota bacterium. RNAcentral's name for it is "Bacteroidetes bacterium partial 16S ribosomal RNA". It matches the Rfam family "Bacterial small subunit ribosomal RNA", at positions 355 to 776 of the family's 1533-position model. The record is from RNAcentral. Lineage: Bacteria; Pseudomonadati; Bacteroidota.